RNAcentral lists this ribosomal RNA (424 nucleotides) under uncultured prokaryote. RNAcentral describes it as "bacterial SSU rRNA". It matches the Rfam family "Bacterial small subunit ribosomal RNA", at positions 355 to 796 of the family's 1533-position model. The record is from RNAcentral.
UGGGGAAUCUUGCACAAUGGGCGAAAGCCUGAUGCAGCCAUGCCGCGUGAAUGAUGAAGGCCUUAGGGUUGUAAAAUUCUUUCGCUAGGGACGAUAAUGACGGUACCUAGUAAAGAAGCCCCGGCUAACUUCGUGCCAGCAGCCGCGGUAAUACGAAGGGGGCUAGCGUUGUUCGGAAUUACUGGGCGUAAAGCGCACGUAGGCGGAUUAACAAGUUGGAGGUGAAAUCCCGAUGCUCAACAUCGGAACUGCCUUCAAAACUGUUAGUCUAGAGAUCAGGAGAGGUUAGUGGAAUACCGAGUGUAGAGGUGAAAUUCGUAGAUAUUCGGUGGAACACCAGUGGCGAAGGCGACUAACUGGACUGAUACUGACGCUGAGGUGCGAAAGUGUGGGGAGCAAACAGGAUUAGAUACCCGCGUAGUCC